RNAcentral lists this ribosomal RNA (1252 nucleotides) under Oblongiala zimbabwensis. RNAcentral's name for it is "partial large subunit ribosomal RNA". The stretch from base 821 to 1185 matches the Rfam family "Bacterial large subunit ribosomal RNA", at positions 2073 to 2647 of the family's 2925-position model. Lineage: Eukaryota; Metazoa; Arthropoda; Insecta; Hemiptera; Reduviidae. The record is from RNAcentral.
AUUAAUAUAAUCACUUUAAUUAAAAAAUUAAAAUACUUUGGUGGAAAUAACUGAUUUUAGAGUAAAGUUUAUUGAAAAAAAUAUUUGGUGAUAGGGCAUAGUACUGUAAAGGGUAUAGGAUAAAUAAGUGAAAGAAGUUUUUAUUUAAUGUACCUUUUGUAUCAGGGAUGAUUAAAUUAAAACAUUUAUAUGUUUUUCUCGAAAUUGGGGGAGAUACAAUGAAUGUUAGUUAAUGUGUUAUAAUUAUUGGUAAUUUUAUUGUAGUAAUGAAAAGUUAUUCGUCCUUAAAUAUCUAGUUCUUUAAGAUUUAAAUUAAAUUUAGAAUUCCUUAAUUUAAUUUUUUAUUUUAAUUAAAAAUUAAAAAGUAAUUUAAUAUUUGUGGGGAUAAGCUUGCGAAUAUGACUAAAAAUUUCUGGUGAUUGAGAGAUUUUGUAAGCUUGAAAUCAGCUAUCAAUAAUUUCGUUAUAGAUUAGUCUCUGUUGAUUUUUAUUUUAAGGGAAGUUUAGAUUUUUAUUAAAGUGAAUAAGUUAAUGGUUAUUUGGUUUUAAUAAUGAUUGUAUUAGUAUACUGUUAAUAUGAGUUAUAGGAAUUCGGCAAAUAUGAGGCCUGCCUGUUUAACAAAAACAUGUUCUUUUGUUGUGAUAAUAAAAGGUUUAGCCUGCCCAAUGAGUAUUUGAAUGGCCGCGGUAUUUUAACUGUGCUAAGGUAGCAUAAUCAUUUGUCUCUUAAUUAGGGGCUUGUAUGAAGGGCUGGACAAGGUUUUCACUUUCUUUAAUUUAUGAGUAAAAUUUGUUUUUUAAGUUAAAAAACUUAAAUUUUUUUAAGGGACGAGAAGACCCUAUAGAUCUUCAUAAUAUGGAAAAUGGAGUCUUUGGUUAUAUAAGAUAUAAAGUUUGUAAUAUUAUUUGGUUGGGGUGAUUUCAGGAAAAAUUGAACUCCUGAUAUUAUGUUAUCAUUAAUGAGUGUUUAAAUGAUCCAUUCAUAGUGAUUAUAAGACUAAGUUACCUUAGGGAUAACAGCGUAAUUUUUACGGAGAGUUCUUAUCGAUGAAAAAGUUUGCGACCUCGAUGUUGGAUUAAAAUAAGUGUUAGGUGAAGUAGCUUAAUAACUAGGUCUGUUCGACCUUUAAUUUUUUACAUGAUCUGAGUUCAGACCGGCGUGAGCCAGGUCAGUUUCUAUCUUUAAUUUUAUUUUAUGUUAUAGUACGAAAGGACCUAAUAUAAGGAAUAUUUUUUUUAAAAUGAUAAAAAUU